AAAUGGCCUAGUUGGCAGGGCAUCGGCUUGAUUCCUCGGAUUGCCCGGGUUCGAGCCCUGGCAU
RNAcentral lists this transfer RNA (64 nucleotides) under Pyramimonas parkeae. The record is from RNAcentral. Lineage: Eukaryota; Viridiplantae; Chlorophyta; Pyramimonadophyceae; Pyramimonadales; Pyramimonadaceae.